GCAAGUCGAACGAUGAAGCCCUUCGGGGUGGAUUAGUGGCGAACGGGUGAGUAACACGUGGGCAAUCUGCCCUGCACUCUGGGACAAGCCCUGGAAACGGGGUCUAAUACCGGAUAUGACCAUCUUGGGCAUCCUUGAUGGUGUAAAGCUCCGGCGGUGCAGGAUGAGCCCGCGGCCUAUCAGCUUGUUGGUGAGGUAACGGCUCACCAAGGCGACGACGGGUAGCCGGCCUGAGAGGGCGACCGGCCACACUGGGACUGAGACACGGCCCAGACUCCUACGGGAGGCAGCAGUGGGGAAUAUUGCACAAUGGGCGAAAGCCUGAUGCAGCGACGCCGCGUGAGGGAUGACGGCCUUCGGGUUGUAAACCUCUUUCAGCAGGGAAGAAGCGAGAGUGACGGUACCUGCAGAAGAAGCGCCGGCUAACUACGUGCCAGCAGCCGCGGUAAUACGUAGGGCGCAAGCGUUGUCCGGAAUUAUUGGGCGUAAAGAGCUCGUAGGCGGCUUGUCGCGUCGGUUGUGAAAGCCCGGGGCUUAACCCCGGGUCUGCAGUCGAUACGGGCAGGCUAGAGUUCGGUAGGGGAGAUCGGAAUUCCUGGUGUAGCGGUGAAAUGCGCAGAUAUCAGGAGGAACACCGGUGGCGAAGGCGGAUCUCUGGGCCGAUACUGACGCUGAGGAGCGAAGC
RNAcentral lists this ribosomal RNA (685 nucleotides) under Streptomyces sp. RNAcentral's name for it is "bacterial SSU rRNA". It matches the Rfam family "Bacterial small subunit ribosomal RNA", at positions 57 to 760 of the family's 1533-position model. Lineage: Bacteria; Bacillati; Actinomycetota; Actinomycetes; Kitasatosporales; Streptomycetaceae. The record is from RNAcentral.